UCCGGCUUAUCACCGGCAGUCUGCUCAGGGUUCCAAACUAAAUGUUGGCAACUAAACACGAGGGUUGCGCUCGUUGCGGGACUUAACCCAACACCUUACGGCACGAGCUGACGACAGCCAUGCAGCACCUAUAUAAAGACCCUUUCGAGAAACAUCAUCUCUGAUGUCGUCCUCUAUAUUUCGAGCCCAGGUAAGGUUCUUCGCGUUGCAUCGAAUUAAACCACAUGCUCCACUGCUUGUGCGGGCCCCCGUCAAUUCUUUUGAGUUUCACCCUUGCGAGCGUACUCCCCAGGCGGUAUACUUAAUGCGUUAGCUCCGGAACAGAGGGGGUUGAGCCCACCUACUCCUAGUAUACAUCGUUUAAGGCAUGGACUAC
Molecule: unclassified non-coding RNA, 376 nt
Filed under: uncultured Chlamydiales bacterium
Lineage: Bacteria; Pseudomonadati; Chlamydiota; Chlamydiia; Chlamydiales
Description: contains 16S-23S intergenic spacer region
Source: RNAcentral